AAACAGAGUAUUAACUCUUACAUUACCAUAACCCAAACCCAGCAUUAACCCUCACAUUACCAUAACCCAAACACAGCAUUAACCCUUACAUUACCAUAACCCAAAUCCAGCAUAACUCUUACAUUACCAUUACCCCAACACAGUAUUAACCCUUACAUUACCAUAACCCAAAUCCAGCAUAACCCUUACAUUACCCUAACACAGCAUUAACCCUUACAUUACCAUAACCCAAAUCCAGCAUUAACCAUU
Pelobates cultripes (western spadefoot toad) is the source of this 249-nucleotide non-coding RNA. The record is from the annotation of a GenBank genome assembly. Lineage: Eukaryota; Metazoa; Chordata; Amphibia; Anura; Pelobatidae.